This 547-nucleotide ribosomal RNA is filed under the name uncultured Bifidobacterium sp. RNAcentral's name for it is "bacterial SSU rRNA". It matches the Rfam family "Bacterial small subunit ribosomal RNA", at positions 147 to 710 of the family's 1533-position model. Lineage: Bacteria; Bacillati; Actinomycetota; Actinomycetes; Bifidobacteriales; Bifidobacteriaceae. The record is from RNAcentral.
CUCCUGGAAACGGGUGGUAAUGCCGGAUGCUCCGCCCCCUCGCAUGGGGGGUCGGGAAGGCUUUUGCGGAAUGGGAUGGGGUCGCGUCCUAUCAGCUUGUUGGCGGGGCGACGGCCCACCAAGGCUUCGACGGGUAGCCGGCCUGAGAGGGCGACCGGCCACAUUGGGACUGAGAUACGGCCCAGACUCCUACGGGAGGCAGCAGUGGGGAAUAUUGCACAAUGGGGGGAACCCUGAUGCAGCGACGCCGCGUGCGGGAUGGAGGCCUUCGGGCGUGAACCGCUUUUGAUUGGGAGCAAGCGUGAGUGAGUGUACCUUUCGAAUAAGCACCGGCUAACUACGUGCCAGCAGCCGCGGUAAUACGUAGGGUGCAAGCGUUGUCCGGAAUCAUUGGGCGUAAAGGGCUCGUAGGCGGUUCGUCGCGUCCGGUGUGAAAGCCCAUCGCUUAACGGUGGGUCUGCGCCGGGUACGGGCGGGCUUGAGUGCGGCAGGGGAGGCUGGAAUUCCCGGUGUAACGGUGGAAUGUGUAGAUAUCGGGAAGAACACC